GAUGAACGCUGGCGGCGUGCCUAAUACAUGCAAGUCGAGCGAACAGACGAGGAGCUUGCUCCUCUGACGUUAGCGGCGGACGGGUGACUAACACGUGGAUAACCUACCUAUAAGACUGGGAUAACUUCGGGAAACCGGAGCUAAUACCAGAUAAUAUAUUGAACCGCAUGGUUCAAUAGUGAAAGACGGUUUUGCUGUCACUUAUAGAUGGAUCCGCGCCGCAUUAGCUAGUUGGUAAGGUAACGGCUUACCAAGGCAACGAUGCGUAGCCGACCUGAGAGGGUGAUCGGCCACACUGGAACUGAGACACGGUCCAGACUCCUACGGGAGGCAGCAGUAGGGAAUCUUCCGCAAUGGGCGAAAGCCUGACGGAGCAACGCCGCGUGAGUGAUGAAGGUCUUCGGAUCGUAAAACUCUGUUAUUAGGGAAGAACAAAUGUGUAAGUAACUAUGCACGUCUUGACGGUACCUAAUCAGAAAGCCACGGCUAACUACGUG
This 497-nucleotide ribosomal RNA is filed under the name uncultured bacterium. RNAcentral describes it as "partial 16S ribosomal RNA". It matches the Rfam family "Bacterial small subunit ribosomal RNA", at positions 28 to 507 of the family's 1533-position model. The record is from RNAcentral.